This 439-nucleotide ribosomal RNA is filed under the name uncultured bacterium. Its description in RNAcentral is "partial 16S ribosomal RNA". It matches the Rfam family "Bacterial small subunit ribosomal RNA", at positions 338 to 795 of the family's 1533-position model. The record is from RNAcentral.
CCUACGGGGGGCAGCAGUGGGGAAUAUUGCACAAUGGGCGAAAGCCUGAUGCAGCAACGCCGCGUGAGCGAUGAAGGCCCUCGGGUCGUAAAGCUCUGUCCUCAAGGAAGAUAAUGACGGUACUUGAGGAGGAAGCCCCGGCUAACUACGUGCCAGCAGCCGCGGUAGUACGUAGGGGGCUAGCGUUAUCCGGAAUUACUGGGCGUAAAGGGGGCGUAGGUGGUUUCUUAGGUCAGAGGGGAAGGGCUACGGCCAAACCGUAGUAAGCCUUUGAAACUGGGGAACUUGAGUGCAGGAGAGGAAAGUGGAAUUCCUGGUGUAGCGGUGAAAUGCGUAGAUAUUAGGAGGAACACCGGUGGCGAAGGCGGCUCUCUGGACUGUAACUGACACUGAGGCACGAAAGCGUGGGGAGCAAACAGGAUUAGAUACCCGAGUAGUC